GGCCUGGCAUAGUGGUUUGAGCACUGGACUGUGACUCUGGAGACCAGGGUUCGAAUCCCAGCUCGGCCA
Molecule: transfer RNA, 69 nt
Filed under: Phrynosoma platyrhinos (Desert horned lizard)
Lineage: Eukaryota; Metazoa; Chordata; Lepidosauria; Squamata; Phrynosomatidae
Description: tRNA-OTHER
Rfam family: tRNA
About the family: Transfer RNA (tRNA) molecules are approximately 80 nucleotides in length.
Source: RNAcentral